Molecule: ribosomal RNA, 433 nt
Filed under: uncultured bacterium
Lineage: Bacteria
Description: partial 16S ribosomal RNA
Rfam family: Bacterial small subunit ribosomal RNA
Source: RNAcentral
AACGAACGCUGGCGGCAUGCCUAACACAUGCAAGUCGAACGAGACCUUCGGGUCUAGUGGCGCACGGGUGCGUAACGCGUGGGAACCUGCCCUUAGGUUCGGAAUAACUCCCCGAAAGGGGUGCUAAUACCGGAUAAUGUCUUCGGACCAAAGAUUUAUCGCCUUUGGAUGGGCCCGCGUUGGAUUAGCUAGUUGGUAGGGUAAAAGCCUGCCAAGGCGACGAUCCAUAGCUGGUCUGAGAGGAUGAUCAGCCACACUGGGACUGAGACACGGCCCAGACUCCUACGGGAGGCAGCAGUGGGGAAUAUUGGACAAUGGGCGAAAGCCUGAUCCAGCAAUGCCGCGUGAGUGAUGAAGGCCUUAGGGUUGUAAAGCUCUUUUACCCGGGAUGAUAUUGACAGUACCGGGAGAAUAAGCUCCGGCUAACUCCGUG